AUACGGAGGAUCCGAGCGUUAUCCGGAUUUAUUGGGUUUAAAGGGUGCGCAGGCGGGAGAUUAAGUCGGCGGUGAAAUUUUGCAGCUCAACUGUAAAAGUGCCUUCGAUACUGGUUUCCUUGAGUGUGGAUGAAGUAGGCGGAAUUUGUGGUGUAGCGGUGAAAUGCUUAGAUAUCACGAGGAACUCCGAUUGCGCAGGCAGCUUACUAAACCACUACUGACGCUCAGGCACGAAGGCGUGGGGAUCAAACAGGAUUAGAUACCCUGGUAGUCCACGCAGUAAACGAUGAUUACUAGCUGUUUGCGAUACAAUGUAAGCGGCUGAGCGAAAGCGUUAAGUAAUCCACCUGGGGAGUACGUUCGCAAGAAUGAAACUCAAAGGAAUUGACGGGG
Molecule: ribosomal RNA, 393 nt
Filed under: uncultured bacterium
Lineage: Bacteria
Description: partial 16S ribosomal RNA
Rfam family: Bacterial small subunit ribosomal RNA
Source: RNAcentral